UCCUGGUGGCUCAGAUGGUAAAGAAUCUGCCUGCAAUGCAGGAGACCCAGGUUCAAUCCCUGGGGCAGGAA
This 71-nucleotide transfer RNA is filed under the name Bos taurus (domestic cattle). It matches the Rfam family "tRNA". Rfam says of the family: Transfer RNA (tRNA) molecules are approximately 80 nucleotides in length. Their secondary structure includes four short double-helical elements and three loops (D, anti-codon, and T loops). The record is from Rfam by way of RNAcentral. Lineage: Eukaryota; Metazoa; Chordata; Mammalia; Artiodactyla; Bovidae. RNAcentral also lists the same sequence under 2 other names.